This 253-nucleotide small nuclear RNA is filed under the name Jaculus jaculus (lesser Egyptian jerboa). RNAcentral describes it as "7SK RNA (ENSJJAG00000005546.1)". It matches the Rfam family "7SK RNA". Rfam says of the family: 7SK was discovered as an abundant small nuclear RNA in the mid-70s but a possible function has only recently been suggested. Two independent studies have found that 7SK RNA binds the CDK9/cyclin T complex (known as elongation factor P-TEFb). The record is from RNAcentral. Lineage: Eukaryota; Metazoa; Chordata; Mammalia; Rodentia; Dipodidae.
GGAUGUGAGGACAAUCUGGCUGGCUAGGCAGGUGUCCUUCCUCCCAAAGCUGUGCGCUCAUUUGAAGAGGACAACCUUCCCCGAAUAGAGGAGGACUGGUCUUCGGUCCAGGGUGUAUGAGAAGCUGUGCUCCCUUGCUAGAACCUCCAAACAAGCCCUCAAGAAAGGGUAGCCAGAGAUGUUUACAUUCAUCCAAUUUGGAAUCUUAGCUUUAAUUAUCAUACUUUCUAAUUAUGAUCUAUAGAUUAUAUAA